RNAcentral lists this ribosomal RNA (526 nucleotides) under Rhodococcus (subgen. Prescottella) equi. Its description in RNAcentral is "Prescottella equi bacterial SSU rRNA". It matches the Rfam family "Bacterial small subunit ribosomal RNA", at positions 62 to 603 of the family's 1533-position model. The record is from RNAcentral. Lineage: Bacteria; Bacillati; Actinomycetota; Actinomycetes; Mycobacteriales; Nocardiaceae.
UCGAACGGUAAGGCCCCUUCGGGGGUACACGAGUGGCGAACGGGUGAGUAACACGUGGGUGAUCUGCCCUGCACUCUGGGAUAAGCCUGGGAAACUGGGUCUAAUACCGGAUAUGAGCUCCUGUCGCAUGGCGGGGGUUGGAAAGGUUUACUGGUGCAGGAUGGGCCCGCGGCCUAUCAGCUUGUUGGUGGGGUAAUGGCCUACCAAGGCGACGACGGGUAGCCGGCCUGAGAGGGCGACCGGCCACACUGGGACUGAGACACGGCCCAGACUCCUACGGGAGGCAGCAGUGGGGAAUAUUGCACAAUGGGCGAAAGCCUGAUGCAGCGACGCCGCGUGAGGGAUGACGGCCUUCGGGUUGUAAACCUCUUUCAGCAGGGACGAAGCGAGAGUGACGGUACCUGCAGAAGAAGCACCGGCCAACUACGUGCCAGCAGCCGCGGUAAUACGUAGGGUGCGAGCGUUGUCCGGAAUUACUGGGCGUAAAGAGCUCGUAAGCGGUUUGUCGCGUCGUCCGUGAAAACUU